GUUGCCUCACCUUGGUAAGACUA
RNAcentral lists this ribosomal RNA (23 nucleotides) under Dictyostelium giganteum. Its description in RNAcentral is "partial 26S ribosomal RNA". The record is from RNAcentral. RNAcentral also lists the same sequence under 2 other names. Lineage: Eukaryota; Evosea; Eumycetozoa; Dictyosteliales; Dictyosteliaceae.